GUCCUUGUAGCUCAGUAGGAUAGAGCAAUCGCCUCCUAAGCGAUAGGUCGCAGGUUCAAAUCCUGCCAAGGACG
RNAcentral lists this transfer RNA (74 nucleotides) under Salisediminibacterium beveridgei. RNAcentral describes it as "Bacillus beveridgei tRNA". It matches the Rfam family "tRNA". From Rfam's summary of the family: Transfer RNA (tRNA) molecules are approximately 80 nucleotides in length. Lineage: Bacteria; Bacillati; Bacillota; Bacilli; Caryophanales; Bacillaceae. The record is from Rfam by way of RNAcentral.